Molecule: ribosomal RNA, 265 nt
Filed under: uncultured bacterium
Lineage: Bacteria
Description: partial 16S ribosomal RNA
Rfam family: Bacterial small subunit ribosomal RNA
Source: RNAcentral
GGCUCCCUACGGGGCGCAGCAGUGAGGAAUAUUGGUCAAUGGGAGAGAUCCUGAACCAGCCAAGCCGCGUGAGGGAAGACGGCCCUAUGGGUUGUAAACCUCUUUUGUCGGAGAACAAAACCCGGGACGUGUCCCGGACUGCGUGUACCCGAAGAAAAAGCAUCGGCUAACUCCGUGCCAGCAGCCGCGGUAAUACGGAGGAUGCGAGCGUUAUCUGGAUUUAUUGGGUUUAAAGGGUGCGUAGGCGGUCCGUUAAGUCAGCGGU